Molecule: ribosomal RNA, 253 nt
Filed under: uncultured bacterium
Lineage: Bacteria
Description: partial 16S ribosomal RNA
Rfam family: Bacterial small subunit ribosomal RNA
Source: RNAcentral
UACGUAGGGGGCAAGCGUUGUCCGGAAUCAUUGGGCGUAAAGCGCGCGUAGGCGGCCCGGUAAGUCCGUUGUAAAAGUCAAAGGCUCAACCUUUGAAAGCCGAUGGAUACUGCCGGGCUAGAAUCCGGAAGAGGCGAGUGGAAUUCCUGGUGUAGCGGUGGAAUGCGCAGAUAUCAGGAGGAACACCAAUAGCGAAGGCAGCUCGCUGGGACGGUAUUGACGCUAAGGCGCGAAAGCGUGGGGAGCAAACAGG